This 445-nucleotide ribosomal RNA is filed under the name uncultured bacterium. RNAcentral describes it as "bacterial SSU rRNA". It matches the Rfam family "Bacterial small subunit ribosomal RNA", at positions 354 to 796 of the family's 1533-position model. The record is from RNAcentral.
GUGAGGAAUAUUGGUCAAUGGGCGCAAGCCUGAACCAGCCAUGCCGCGUGCAGGAAGACGGUCCUAUGGAUUGUAAACUGCUUUUAUUUGGGAAUAAACUCCGGUACGUGUACCGGCCUGAAGGUACCAAAUGAAUAAGCACCGGCUAACUCCGUGCCAGCCGCCGCGGUAAUACGGAGGGUGCAAGCGUUAUCCGGAAUCAUUGGGUUUAAAGGGUCCGCAGGCGGUCUUAUAAGUCAGUGGUGAAAGCCUACAACUCAACUGUAGAUCUGCCAUUGAUACUGUAGGACUUGAAUUCGAUCGAAGUGGGCGGAAUGUGACAUGUAGCGGUGAAAUGCUUAGAUAUGUCACAGAACACCGAUAGCGAAGGCAGCUCACUAGGUCUGGAUUGACGCUCAGGGACGAAAGCGUGGGGAGCAAACAGGAUUAGAUACCCUGGUAGUCC